UCAUAAAGUUUCGGUGUAACGUCACAGC
This 28-nucleotide small RNA is filed under the name Bombyx mori (domestic silkworm). RNAcentral describes it as "ovarian small RNA-25858". The record is from RNAcentral. Lineage: Eukaryota; Metazoa; Arthropoda; Insecta; Lepidoptera; Bombycidae.